RNAcentral lists this ribosomal RNA (468 nucleotides) under uncultured bacterium. RNAcentral's name for it is "partial 16S ribosomal RNA". It matches the Rfam family "Bacterial small subunit ribosomal RNA", at positions 28 to 507 of the family's 1533-position model. The record is from RNAcentral.
GACGAACGCUGGCGGCGUGCUUAAUACAUGCAAGUCGAACGGAAAGGCCCUGCUUUUGUGGGGUGCUCGAGUGGCGAACGGGUGAGUAACACGUGAGUAACCUGCCCUUGACUUUGGGAUAACUUCAGGAAACUGGGGCUAAUACCGGAUAGGAGCUCCUGCUGCAUGGUGGGGGUUGGAAAGUUUCGGCGGUUGGGGAUGGACUCGCGGCUUAUCAGCUUGUUGAUGGGGUAGUGGCUUACCAAGGCUUUGACGGGUAGCCGGCCUGAGAGGGUGACCGGCCACAUUGGGACUGAGAUACGGCCCAGACUCCUACGGGAGGCAGCAGUGGGGAAUAUUGCACAAUGGGCGGAAGCCUGAUGCAGCAACGCCGCGUGCGGGAUGACGGCCUUCGGGUUGUAAACCGCUUUCGCCUGUGACGAAGCGUGAGUGACGGUAAUGGGUAAAGAAGCACCGGCUAACUACGUG